UAUAUCAACUUUCAUUAUAUAUAUAUCAAGUUUCAUUAUAUAUAUAUAUCAACUUUCAUUAUAUAUAUAUCAAGUUUCAUUAUAUAUAUAUCGACUUUCAUUAUAUAUAUAUAUCAACUUUCAUUAUAUAUAUAUCAAAUCUUUUUUUCCUACCGAGCCCCGGAAGGGACAUGUCCGUAUGGCGAAGCGACAACGAAGGACACUCACCCGGACGAGAAUUUUAUUGAGUUUUAUUUUAAAAUCGGCCUGAAACACACAGACAUUCAAGCAGUGCGAUGCGCUAAGAGUCUGCCAUGCAGACCAGCGAUCCUGAUAAUGUUGUCGGCCUUGGAUGAUGAGGUCCAGUUACCAGGAGCACUAGUCUGCAGCUUACUGGUUCCGUCCUGCAGCUCCUCCACGCUGUCCUCCUCUCUACAGACCAAAUCAAGAAAAGGGAACCAGGAAGCUGCUGUGGAUCCUCUGCAGUAUCUGGAGAGGUCAGAGGAACGGUUCUUGGAACAGAUCGGAAGACACCAAGACGUGACCUCUGCCAUGCUCCAGAACAUCCAGAAGAUGAAUGAAAACCUUGGUUGCACUGAUGGGACGCAUGGUGUCGGUGCUGGAGCAACUGUCCCAGAAUUAAACUGCAUUGUUGACUAUUGGCUUUUCUAGAAAAUAAAUCUUUUUUAGUACUUCA
Molecule: long non-coding RNA, 676 nt
Organism: Acanthochromis polyacanthus (spiny chromis)
Lineage: Eukaryota; Metazoa; Chordata; Actinopteri; Pomacentridae
Exons: 3
Source: RefSeq, a predicted model, not a curated record